Molecule: ribosomal RNA, 386 nt
Filed under: uncultured prokaryote
Description: bacterial SSU rRNA
Rfam family: Archaeal small subunit ribosomal RNA
Source: RNAcentral
UCGCGAAAACUUCACAAUGGGGGCAACCCCGAUGAGGGAAUUCCUAGUGCUAGUACUUUUUGUAUUAGCUUUUCUUCAGCUUAGAAAACUGAUGGAAUAAGGGCUGGGUAAGACGGGUGCCAGCCGCCGCGGUAAUACCUGCAGCCCAAGUGGUGGUCGAUUUUAUUGAGUCUAAAACGUUCGUAGCCGGUUUGAUAAAUCCUUGGGUAAAUCGAGAAGCUUAACUUUUCGAAUUCCGAGGAGACUGUCAAACUUGGGACCGGGAGAGGCUAGAGGUACUUCUGGGGUAGGGGUAAAAUCCUGUAAUCCUAGAAGGACCACCGGUGGCGAAGGCGUCUAGCUAGAACGGAUCCGACGGUGAGGGACGAAGCCCUGGGGCGCAAACG